CAAAAACACAUAGAUAACUCGGGCUAUUUUCAGAGCACCCACCAUACAUAUAGACAUUGGUUUCACUGAGAAGCAAAACGAACUCAUACACUUUCUAGGUUUCCCAGAUAGAUAUUGUAAGAACCUUCUUUCAGUCAGUGCUUCAGGAAUCUUCAUCUAGAACAAUGGAGAAUAAGUCUGGAAUAUCAUGGACUGCUUUCCAAGGCAUCAGAUUCUGGUGUAUAACCAUGCUCACACAAUCGCGCUGUUAAAGAAUUCAAUCCAGCAUAAAUAAGGUUGGCUUCAGG
Molecule: unclassified non-coding RNA, 287 nt
Filed under: Hevea brasiliensis (rubber tree)
Lineage: Eukaryota; Viridiplantae; Streptophyta; Magnoliopsida; Malpighiales; Euphorbiaceae
Source: RNAcentral